UACAGAGGUCCCGAGCGUUGUUCGGAUUUAUUGGGCGUAAAGGGUGCGUAGGCGGCGGAGUAAGUUGGGUGUGAAAUCCCGGGGCUUAACCUCGGAAUUGCAUUCAAUACUGCUUCGCUCGAGUACUGGAGAGGAGGCUGGAAUUUACGGUGUAGCAGUGAAAUGCGUAGAUAUCGUAAGGAAGGCCGGUGGCGAAAGCGAGCCUCUGGACAGUUACUGACGCUGAGACACGAAAGCGUGGGGAGCAAACAGG
Molecule: ribosomal RNA, 253 nt
Filed under: uncultured bacterium
Lineage: Bacteria
Description: partial 16S ribosomal RNA
Rfam family: Bacterial small subunit ribosomal RNA
Source: RNAcentral